Molecule: long non-coding RNA, 233 nt
Filed under: Elaeis guineensis (African oil palm)
Lineage: Eukaryota; Viridiplantae; Streptophyta; Magnoliopsida; Arecales; Arecaceae
Description: long non-coding RNA (EGUI_LNC028359)
Source: RNAcentral
GGUGGGGCCUCGAUGACGAUGACCUCAUUGUCCGUAAGGGUGGCUGUGGGUCUCGAGAUGGCAAUCGUGACGUCGGUGGUAGAAGGUGGUGGUGAAGACCACUCUGGUGGUGGUCGGGGUGGCAACGGAGGCUGCAUACUCCUCAUCUGAAGAGGAGAUCAUUUUCUCGACUUCUUCGAUGGUCGAGAAGGACCCCCAGGCCCGAACGUCAUCUUCUUCUUCAUUUUGAUGGC